GAUGAACGCUGGCGGCGUGCCUAAUACAUGCAAGUCGAGCGAACGGACGAGAAGCUUGCUUCUCUGAUGUUAGCGGCGGACGGGUGAGUAACACGUGGAUAACCUACCUAUAAGACUGGGAUAACUUCGGGAAACCGGAGCUAAUACCGGAUAAUAUUUUGAACCGCAUGGUUCAAAAGUGAAAGACGGUCUUGCUGUCACUUAUAGAUGGAUCCGCGCUGCAUUAGCUAGUUGGUAAGGUAACGGCUUACCAAGGCAACGAUGCAUAGCCGACCUGAGAGGGUGAUCGCCCACACUGGAACUGGGACACGGUCCAGACUCCUACAGUAGGCAGCAGUAGGGAAUCUUGCGCAAUAGGCGAAAGCCUGACGGAGCAACGCCGCGUGAGUUAUGAAGGUCUUCUGAUCGUAAAACUCUGUUAUUAGGGAAGAACAUAUGUGUAAGUAACUGUGCACAUCUUGACGGUACCUAAUCAGAAAGCCACGGCUAACUACGUG
Molecule: ribosomal RNA, 497 nt
Filed under: uncultured bacterium
Lineage: Bacteria
Description: partial 16S ribosomal RNA
Rfam family: Bacterial small subunit ribosomal RNA
Source: RNAcentral